AUACGUAGGGGGCGAGCGUUGUCCGGAAUGAUUGGGCGUAAAGGGCGCGUAGGCGGCCCGGUAAGUCUGGAGUGAAAGUCCUGUUUUUAAGAUGGGAAUUGCUUUGGAUACUGUCGGGCUUGAGUGCAGGAGAGGUAAGUGGAAUUCCCAGUGUAGCGGUGAAGGGCGUAGAGAUUGGGAGGAACACCAGUGGCGAAGGCGACUUACUGGACUGUAACUGACGCUGAGGCGCGAAAGUGUGGGGAGCAAACAGGAUUAGAUACCCUGGUAGUCCACACUGUAAACGAUGAAUGCUAGGUGUAGGGGGUAUCGACCCCUUCUGUGCCGCAGUCAACACAAUAAGCAUUCCGCCUGGGGAGUACGGCCGCAAGGUUGAAACUCAAAUGAAUUGACGGGG
Molecule: ribosomal RNA, 397 nt
Filed under: uncultured bacterium
Lineage: Bacteria
Description: partial 16S ribosomal RNA
Rfam family: Bacterial small subunit ribosomal RNA
Source: RNAcentral